Long non-coding RNA from Rattus rattus (black rat), 600 nucleotides. RefSeq lists it as uncharacterized. The record is from RefSeq and is a predicted model, not a curated record. The transcript has 2 exons. NCBI's taxonomy places the organism in Eukaryota, Metazoa, Chordata, Mammalia, Rodentia, Muridae.
CCUGGACUCCAGUACUGGGUCAUUUCAUUUUCCUUGAAACCUGAGCAACUCUCCGGGCCCUCCGGGUCUUUGCUGUUGGGUGAGAGAGCUGCGUCCGCGGCGGGCUCGUGGUCACUCUCCCGGGGUCUGGGCAGAGGUUCCCGCAGCCCUGACCGGAAGAAAGGAAUGAAUAAAUGCGACUCGCGGGCCAGCUCACAUAGGACCUACCCUGAGCUGGGAGGUGCUGGGGCAAACCUGCAAGGCAAGCACUCUGCAUGUGAGCCAGCUGCCCAGCCUGAUGUACCUUCUACUUGGAAUUGAGCUCGUACUGCCUUUCUGUGUUUACCUCCACCAGCAGCAGGGAUAUUAUUUUGACUCAGUUUUGCUUGUUGCCCUGGCUAGCCCUGAACUCAUAGCUAUCCUCCUGGCUUAAUAAUAUAUAGUUUCUUCCUUCUUUCGUGUGUGUGUGUGUGUGUGUGUGUGUGUGUGUGUGUGUGUGUGUGUAUUGACCCUGUGGCCUGGUGCAUGGCAGGCAGGCACUCUACCACUGGACUCUGUCCCAGCCCCCACCUUCUCAGCUGUGAAUCUAUUUUCAGUGAAUUGUGAAGAUGUGCAUAUUUU